RNAcentral lists this ribosomal RNA (253 nucleotides) under uncultured bacterium. RNAcentral describes it as "partial 16S ribosomal RNA". It matches the Rfam family "Bacterial small subunit ribosomal RNA", at positions 524 to 776 of the family's 1533-position model. The record is from RNAcentral.
UACAGAGGUCUCAAGCGUUGUUCGGAUUCAUUGGGCGUAAAGGGUGCGUAGGCGGCGCGGUAAGUCGGGUGUGAAAUCUCGGAGCUUAACUCCGAAACUGCAUUCGAUACUGCCGUGCUUGAGGACUGGAGAGGAGACUGGAAUUUACGGUGUAGCGGUGAAAUGCGUAGAUAUCGGGAGGAACACCAGUAGCGAAGGCGGCACUCUGGGCCGGUACUGACGCUGAGGAGCGAAAGCGUGGGGAGCGAACAGG